Molecule: long non-coding RNA, 818 nt
Filed under: Nicotiana benthamiana
Lineage: Eukaryota; Viridiplantae; Streptophyta; Magnoliopsida; Solanales; Solanaceae
Description: long non-coding RNA (NBEN_LNC010349)
Source: RNAcentral
UGAAUAUUAAUAGUUCAAUACAAAUUAACAGUCCAACGGCCAGUGUUCAAAUGAAUACAAAUUAAAAAAAACAAAACAAAACUACACUAAACAAGCAAAUCAGUAGCGUCUAUCCAACUGGAGUCAUACAACAAUCCAAACGAGCAUGCAUAAGAAAGCAGGCUGGUAAAUGUAAUUUAUUCCAUUUCAAAUUCACAGCUACAUCAACGCAGUUUAGUAUAUGUACCUGAAUUAAGGCAAAGAUGAAACACCUAUGAGUAGGUAAACAAUAUACAAUAACAACAACAAAUUCACAGCAAUAAACCAAGCUCGAAACCCAGAAUCGAACAGAAGAAUUUAUCAAAUAAACCAGGACAUGAUGUAAAGCCAGCAACACCUGUGAACCAACCAAAACAGCCUCGUUUUAAACCCAAACAUACUCGAAAUUUAGCCCACAAACUUCUGAAGGUUUACACCUCAAACACAUGUCUUUCUGGUCGUUUUCAUCUUAUGUAGCUAGAAAUUCAAAUUGAUGCUGAGAACUAGAACUAAUCUGAGGAAAAUACUCCAAUGGAACAGUAUUUGUUUUUUGAGAUUUUUUUGGAGAUUUAGGAUUCAAAUUUUCCAGAGAUUUUCAGGGGCUAACCGGUGGGAAUUUCUCAAAGUCUAACCUCUUUGGGAAGUUUUUAGGGAUCAAAAGACUUAUGGGAAUUUUCAGAGUUCCAACCUUGUGAAAGAAGGAAUUGGUAUGACUUUUUAUAGGCAAAACUUUAGGGAAACCCUUUCUAUUUUAUUUUACCCUAAGUCCUCCCUUAUUAUCAGAUUUUACUCAAUUAGUC